GUGGGGAAUAUUGGUCAAUGGGCGGGAGCCUGAACCAGCCAAGUCGCGUGAAGGAAGAAGGAUCUAUGGUUCGUAAACUUCUUUUGCAGGGGAAUAAAGUGCAGGACGUGUCCUGUUUUGUAUGUACCCUGAGAAUAAGGAUCGGCUAACUCCGUGCCAGCAGCCGCGGUAAUACGGAGGAUCCGAGCGUUAUCCGGAUUUAUUGGGUUUAAAGGGUGCGUAGGUGGUUUGAUAAGUCAGCGGUGAAAGUUUGCAGCUUAACUGUAAAAAUGCCGUUGAAACUGUCGGACUUGAGUGUAAAUGAGGUAGGCGGAAUGCGUGGUGUAGCGGUGAAAUGCAUAGAUAUCACGCAGAACUCCGAUUGCGAAGGCAGCUUACUAAGCUACAACUGACACUGAAGCACGAAAGCGUGGGGAUCAAACAGGAUUAGAUACCCUUGUAGUCC
Molecule: ribosomal RNA, 445 nt
Filed under: uncultured bacterium
Lineage: Bacteria
Description: partial 16S ribosomal RNA
Rfam family: Bacterial small subunit ribosomal RNA
Source: RNAcentral